GACGAACGUUGGCGGCGUGCUUAACACAUGCAAGUCGAACGGUGAAGCGCCUUCCUUUUUGGUGGGUGUGGAUGAGUGGCGAACGGGUGAGUAACACGUGAGUAACCUGCCCCCUUCUUCUGGAUAACCGCAUGAAAGUGUGGCUAAUACGGGAUAUUCUGUGUCUGUCGCAUGAUGGGUCUGGGAAAGAUAUUGAUUCGGUGGGGGAUGGGCUCGCGGCCUAUCAGCUUGUUGGUGGGGUGAUGGCCUACCAAGGCGGUGACGGGUAGCCGGCCUGAGAGGGUGGACGGUCACAAUGGGACUGAGACACGGCACAGACUCCGAAGGGAGGCAGAAGGGGGGAAUAUUGAACAAGGGGCGCAAGACUGAUGCAGCGACGCCGAGGGAGGGAUGGAGGCCUUCGGGUUGUGAACGUCUUUCGCCAGUGAAGCAGGCCUGCCUCGUUUGUGGGUGGGUUGACGGUAGCUGGAUAAGAAGCGCCGGCUAACUACGUG
This 494-nucleotide ribosomal RNA is filed under the name uncultured bacterium. RNAcentral describes it as "partial 16S ribosomal RNA". It matches the Rfam family "Bacterial small subunit ribosomal RNA", at positions 28 to 507 of the family's 1533-position model. The record is from RNAcentral.